Molecule: non-coding RNA, 129 nt
Filed under: Palpitomonas bilix
Lineage: Eukaryota
Source: RNAcentral
GCUUCCCUUUUAUUUGGCCCUUUUCCCACUCUGGCGUAAGCCGUAUCUCACUUCAUCCCCCCCUCACUACUGAAAGGGCAAUAGCAUAGCUGCAUUUGAGUAGUGUAUCGCCACUUACGUGCCCCCAUU